RNAcentral lists this long non-coding RNA (948 nucleotides) under Danio rerio (zebrafish). Its description in RNAcentral is "si:ch211-42i9.5 (ENSDARG00000095388.4)". The record is from RNAcentral. Lineage: Eukaryota; Metazoa; Chordata; Actinopteri; Cypriniformes; Danionidae.
AUACACUGUGUGUGGUGGAAAAGGAAUGAGCAACUGAUUGGCUAAAACCCAUUGAGAGCAAAAUAAGGAGUGGAAGUGUGUGUGUUAUGGAUCAUCUGUUUUCAGUUUUUGAGUUGGUCUUCAUCUUCAUUGCCUUCACUAUCAUGUGCUUAUUUGGCCUGGCUGCCAUCUACACCUAUAAUACAGAUCAUCAAGGUGAUUGAAUUCAGACAGAGCAGAUCACAUAACAAAUCAACUCGAAGAAAAUGUCCUCGAUAAACAGGCCCGACUCACCAAAAGCUGUUAACCAAUGGACAGAAGUGAAAUCUGAAAUCACAUACAGGUUUAUAUAUAGUAGGUGAAAAAAACAGUAUGUGACAAAAAGAAGCAUGCCUGAAUUUAAAAUGCGGGAAAAGGGUACAAGGAUGACAACAUGGCAACUGAAUGUCCAGAUUAUAUGUAUACCACACUAUAUUGGCCCUAUAUAAUUGCCAUCGAUUAACCACCCAGCCAGGUGGCCAGGUGAUGUCAGAUUGUAGUUUUGGAGACUUUUUGAGCCUAAGAUUUUGGGCCAUUUGAACCAUUGUCCUAUAACAGUAGCUGAGGUUUCCUCAUCCUGUGUUAAUGCAUACUUUGAAGAAGUGAUGAAAAUGCCAAAUUUUUUAUGAAAAAAUCCCUUAAUUCGCAAACAAACUUUUUAUAAGCUCACUUGAGCUGGCUUUGGACUUGUGUGAAAAAGGUUUAAUGCAAAUAUUGGGAGAUGAAAACUCCUUUUUAGAAUAAAAUGAUGUAGCGAACAUUAAACCCACAUGAUUCCAUUAUGCUUGCCUUGUUUACUGUUAGUUUCUAGGUUACCAAUACUACAGUCGGUUGCUCUAAAAACAUGAUGGAAACACACCUAAUUAGGAUAUGUUUAUAUUUUUUAACGAAAAUUUGAAAAGAUUCACUUUAAGUUAGGGUGCAAACCUG